CGGCAAUAGCCUAAAACUCAAAGGACUUGGCGGUGCUUUAUAUCCCUCUAGAGGAGCCUGUUCUAUAAUCGAUAAACCCCGAUAAACCUUACCAAUCCUUGCUAACACAGCCUAUAUACCGCCAUCUUCAGCAAACCCUUAAAAGGAACAAAAGUAAGCACAACCACAACACAUAAAAACGUUAGGUCAAGGUGUAGCCUAUGGAAUGGGAAGAAAUGGGCUACAUUUUCUACCUUAAGAA
RNAcentral lists this ribosomal RNA (241 nucleotides) under Kobus vardonii (puku). RNAcentral's name for it is "partial 12S ribosomal RNA". Lineage: Eukaryota; Metazoa; Chordata; Mammalia; Artiodactyla; Bovidae. The record is from RNAcentral.